RNAcentral lists this small nuclear RNA (316 nucleotides) under Nannospalax galili (Upper Galilee mountains blind mole rat). RNAcentral describes it as "7SK RNA (ENSNGAG00000004737.1)". It matches the Rfam family "7SK RNA". Rfam says of the family: 7SK was discovered as an abundant small nuclear RNA in the mid-70s but a possible function has only recently been suggested. Two independent studies have found that 7SK RNA binds the CDK9/cyclin T complex (known as elongation factor P-TEFb). P-TEFb activates transcription by phosphorylating the C-terminal domain of RNA polymerase II. The record is from Rfam by way of RNAcentral. Lineage: Eukaryota; Metazoa; Chordata; Mammalia; Rodentia; Spalacidae.
UGAUGUGAGGGUGAUCUGGCUGUGACAUCUGUCACCCCAUUGAUCUCCAGGGUUGAUUCAGCUGAUCUGGCUAGCUAGGCGGGUGUCCCCUUCCUCCCUUUAAUGUUCCACGUGUGUUCCUCCUGAAGCUGCACGCUGGGUGGAAGAGGAUGACCUUUCCCAAUGGCGGAGGACAGUUCUUCGUUCAGGGUAUAGGAGUAGCUGCACUCCCGUUAGAACCUCCAAACAAGCUCUCAAGUGCCAUAUGUCCUGGGUGAGAUUCUGUAACAAGCAAAGGAUAUCGGAAUCAAGGAAAUCUGAAUAUAUUAUGGACCUU